AUUGAACGCUGGCGGCAUGCCUUACACAUGCAAGUCGAACGGUAACAGGUCUUCGGAUGCUGACGAGUGGCGAACGGGUGAGUAAUACAUCGGAACGUGCCCGAUCGUGGGGGAUAACGAGGCGAAAGCUUUGCUAAUACCGCAUACGAUCUACGGAUGAAAGCGGGGGAUCUUCGGACCUCGCGCGGACGGAGCGGCCGAUGGCAGCUUAGGUAGUUGGUGGGAUAAAAGCUUACCAAGCCGACGAUCUGUAGCUGGUCUGAGAGGAUGAUCAGCCACACUGGGACUGAGACACGGCCCAGACUCCUACGGGAGGCAGCAGUGGGGAAUUUUGGACAAUGGGCGAAAGCCUGAUCCAGCCAUGCCGCGUGCAGGAUGAAGGCCUUCGGGUUGUAAACUGCUUUUGUACGGAACGAAAAGCCUCUUUCUAAUAAAGAGGGGUCAUGACGGUACCGUAAGAAUAAGCACCGGCUAACUACGUG
This 482-nucleotide ribosomal RNA is filed under the name uncultured bacterium. RNAcentral's name for it is "partial 16S ribosomal RNA". It matches the Rfam family "Bacterial small subunit ribosomal RNA", at positions 30 to 507 of the family's 1533-position model. The record is from RNAcentral.